GACAGAGGGUGCAAACGUUGUUCGGAAUUACUGGGCGUAAAGCGUGUGUAGGCGGCCACGUAAGUCGGAUGUGAAAGCCCCAGGCUCAACCUGGGAAGUGCACUCGAUACUGCGUGGCUUGAGUAUCGGAGAGGUUGGUGGAAUUCUCGGUGUAGAGGUGAAAUUCGUAGAUAUCGAGAGGAACACCGGUGGCGAAGGCGGCUUCCUGGACCGACACUGACGCUGAGGCGCGAAAGCUAGGGGAGCAAACGGG
Molecule: ribosomal RNA, 253 nt
Filed under: uncultured bacterium
Lineage: Bacteria
Description: partial 16S ribosomal RNA
Rfam family: Bacterial small subunit ribosomal RNA
Source: RNAcentral